Molecule: long non-coding RNA, 861 nt
Organism: Ruditapes philippinarum (Manila clam)
Lineage: Eukaryota; Metazoa; Mollusca; Bivalvia; Venerida; Veneridae
Exons: 5
Source: RefSeq, a predicted model, not a curated record
UAUUAUAACUACAAAACAUGUAUGUUGUCAUUGUAUUUCUCUUUUAGUAUUGUCUCGAUAUAAAAGUAAGUCAAAGCCAUUUUUAUAGAUGGAAGGUAGAUUCACAAAUUACGCAGUUACUCCCCUUUGAUAUAAUUAAGCCAUGAAAUCAUCUGAAAGUUUCCAAUGUCAUUGAAGAACACACGAAGUUUACCGACGAAUUUGCACAGAUUUUUAGAGUAGAUUGUACCAGAAGGCAAUGAUUGAGGAUAGCUAUUCAUACUGAUAAUUAAUCUGACAAGUGGCUGUAGAGUCCCAAUGCACCACCAUGUUGACAUGGUACGUGCCAUAAAUGCAUUAUAAUUUAUUCUCAUCUGUUUAGAAGACACUUCAUUUGGCUUAGUCAGAAUGGGACCUUAAAUGAAAAUGCAUUAUUGUACCGUAUAUGAAACAACACAAGAAUGAUCCAGAAGAAGUAAAACUACUCUGCACAUACUCCACUACUGAGCCCUGCCUUACAGGCCUUGUUCCCAAGCUAAUGCCAGCUGAGCUGUGGAUACACCAAUAUGUGGAAUGCCUUCAUCAUCAAUGACGUGUAGUGUUAAAUAUUAAACAAAUGAGAAAAUGUCCAAUAGUAAAAAACGGAAGUACGACGAGCAGCUGAAUAUACCCACAGACUUUAGGUGCAUUAUUCACAACAGUGGACUUAGCAAUCAUGGUGACUGUGUAACACUAAAUUCUACAAAAUUAAAAGUCUCUGCUGAACAAAAACUAGAUCAGCUGCACUCAAUUCGCAACAAGCGAUUAGCUGAACCAUGUGACUCACCACAUCGCAUGCAUGACAUAUGCAAGAGCAUUCCUGCCUCAUUAUGUGGAAUAGAC